GACGAACGCUGGCGGCGUGCUUAACACAUGCAAGUCGAACGGAAAGGCCCUGCUUUUGUGGGGUGCUCGAGUGGCGAACGGGUGAGUAACACGUGAGUAACCUGCCCUUGACUUUGGGAUAACUUCAGGAAACUGGGGCUAAUACCGGAUAGGAGCUCCUGCUGCAUGGUGGGGGUUGGAAAGUUUCGGCGGUUGGGGAUGGACUCGCGGCUUAUCAGCUUGUUGGUGGGGUAGUGGCUUACCAAGGCUUUGACGGGUAGCCGGCCUGGGAGGGUGACCGGCCACAUUGGGACUGAGGUACGGCCCAGCCGCCUACGGGGGGCAGCAGUGGGGAAUAUUGCACAAUGGGCGGAGGCCUGAUGCAGCAACGCCGCGUGCGGGAUGACGGCCUUCGGGUUGUAAACCGCUUUCGCCUGUGACGAAGCGUGAGUGACGGUAAUGGGUAAAGAAGCACCGGCUAACUACGU
This 467-nucleotide ribosomal RNA is filed under the name uncultured bacterium. RNAcentral describes it as "partial 16S ribosomal RNA". It matches the Rfam family "Bacterial small subunit ribosomal RNA", at positions 28 to 506 of the family's 1533-position model. The record is from RNAcentral.